GCUGGAGGUAUCAGAAGUGCGAAUGCUGACAUAAGUAACGAUAAAGCGGGUGAAAAGCCCGCUCGCCGGAAGACCAAGGGUUCCUGUCCAACGUUAAUCGGGGCAGGGUGAGUCGACCCCUAAGGCGAGGCCGAAAGGCGUAGUCGAUGGGAAACAGGUUAAUAUUCCUGUACUUGGUGUUACUGCGAAGGGGGGACGGAGAAGGCUAUGUUGGCCGGGCGACGGUUGUCCCGGUUUAAGCGUGUAGGCUGGUUUUCCAGGCAAAUCCGGAAAAUCAAGGCUGAGGCGUGAUGACGAGGCACUACGGUGCUGAAGCAACAAAUGCCCUGCUUCCAGGAAAAGCCUCUAAGCAUCAGGUAACAUCAAAUCGUACCCCAAACCGACACAGGUGGUCAGGUAGAGAAUACCAAGGCGCUUGAGAGAACUCGGGUGAAGGAACUAGGCAAAAUGGUGCCGUAACUUCGGGAGAAGGCACGCUGAUAYGUAGGUGAAGUCCCUCGCGGAUGGAGCUGAAAUCAGUCGAAGAUACCAGCUGGCUGCAACUGUUUAUUAAAAACACAGCACUGUGCAAACACGAAAGUGGACGUAUACGGUGUGACGCCUGCCCGGUGCCGGAAGGUUAAUUGAUGGGGUUAGCGSWAGCGAAGCUCUUGAUCGAAGCCCCGGUAAACGGCGGCCGUAACUAUAACGGUCCUAAGGUAGCGAAAUUCCUUGUCGGGUAAGUUCCGACCUGCACGAAUGGCGUAAUGAUGGCCAGGCUGUCUCCACCCGAGACUCAGUGAAAUUGAACUCGCUGUGAAGAUGCAGUGUACCCGCGGCAAGACGGAAAGACCCCGUGAACCUUUACUAUAGCUUGACACUGAACAUUGAGCCUUGAUGUGUAGGAUAGGUGGGAGGCUUUGAAGUGUGGACGCCAGUCUGCAUGGAGCCGACCUUGAAAUACCACCCUUUAAUGUUUGAUGUUCUAACGUUGACCCGURAUCCGGGUUGCGGACAGUGUCUGGUGGGUAGUUUGACUGGGGCGGUCUCCUCCUAAAGAGUAACGGAGGAGCACGAAGGUUGGCUAAUCCUGGUCGGACAUCAGGAGGUUAGUGCAAUGGCAUAAGCCAGCUUGACUGCGAGCGUGACGGCGCGAGCAGGUGCGAAAGCAGGUCAUAGUGAUCCGGUGGUUCUGAAUGGAAGGGCCAUCGCUCAACGGAUAAAAGGUACUCCGGGGAUAACAGGCUGAUACCGCCCAAGAGUUCAUAUCGACGGCGGUGUUUGGCACCUCGAUGUCGGCUCAUCACAUCCUGGGGCUGAAGUAGGUCCCAAGGGUAUGGCUGUUCGCCAUUUAAAGUGGUACGCGAGCUGGGUUUAGAACGUCGUGAGACAGUUCGGUCCCUAUCUGCCGUGGGCGCUGGAGAACUGAGGGGGGCUGCUCCUAGUACGAGAGGACCGGAGUGGACGCAUCACUGGUGUUCGGGUUGUCAUGCCAAUGGCACUGCCCGGUAGCUAAAUGCGGAAGAGAUAAGUGCUGAAAGCAUCUAAGCACGAAACUUGCCCCGAGAUGAGUUCUCCCUGAC
This 1562-nucleotide ribosomal RNA is filed under the name Escherichia coli. RNAcentral's name for it is "partial 23S ribosomal RNA". It matches the Rfam family "Bacterial large subunit ribosomal RNA", at positions 1273 to 2819 of the family's 2925-position model. Lineage: Bacteria; Pseudomonadati; Pseudomonadota; Gammaproteobacteria; Enterobacterales; Enterobacteriaceae. The record is from RNAcentral.